CAAAUCUAAGCGAGCACUUAAGCACACUUCGGCAAUUUCGACGUUGUCGUUUGGUUUGCCGUCCCUACUUUCCUGAGCUUGAACUACGAAUAUUUGAACAAGAGGUUGUCACCACUUCAUUAACACUGUUUUAAGGGAAGUUCGCUUUUAUUUUCUGUGCCAUCCGAGAUCCCUUCUACUCCAGCCGCCGAGAAAAGCACUUCUACGGCACAAUUUUUUAUGGAAGAAGCUACUGGAAUUUCAAUCUUCAAACGAAUAAACAAGCGAAAGCCCGCGUUCAUUUAUCUUGGUGUCCGUCAAGAAAGAGCCUUCGACAAAUCCAGAUCCUUUGGUUUUAUUGGCUCCUUUGAAUAUCUUUCUAUUAGCCAAUAGGAAAACAGACCUUGGCAGUUGGAAUUGGCCUUGGGCGCUUCGUUUCUGCUGGCCAAUAGGAACGCGGACUCAGAGGAGUAUGUUAUGAAUCACGUUAUGUACAAAUAAGUGUAAAACCAACCAAACAUCAACAUUAUGUAGCCAGCGGUAUAUAUCAGAGAGGUCGCGUUUCAUUGGCUUAGAACCGUUGCGUCAUAUUAUACACAACAACGUUGCCUCCGAAAUGUUACCCUUAAGACUUAACUGGUCCACACUAGCUGUGCUUGUAAUGACUUCCAUGUUCUUCCAUGACCUCACAACUACACAAGAACUUUCCGUAAAA
Long non-coding RNA from Actinia tenebrosa (Australian red waratah sea anemone), 694 nucleotides. RefSeq lists it as uncharacterized. Lineage: Eukaryota; Metazoa; Cnidaria; Anthozoa; Actiniaria; Actiniidae. The record is from RefSeq and is a predicted model, not a curated record.